ACUCUUCUCGAAGAUCAUUGAUGUGUUUGAAUGUUCUCAGAGGAAUUCUAUUCUCGGGUGAUUUGAAUAGAGAUAAAAAGAACACGAAGAGAAGGAUAAAGAAUAAAACCUCUUUGAUUCAACCCUUUCCGCAACUGUGGGCGUGGUAGGGUUACUUAAUUAGUCCCCUGGAUCCCUCAUUCAUAUGAAGCACCAUUCCCCAUCUACUGUCAAAUAAUCGAAAUAACCUUUCAGUCGAAUCUGUCGAUGAUACGUUCUUAUGUGUAAGUAAUUUCAUAUGUUUUUGAUUCAGUUAACCGCCCUAUCUCCCUCCCCAUCACCGAGCAAGAGAAGAAAUUACAUAGGCUUUGGUAUCAGUGACCAAGUUCAAGGUCUUUUUGUGGAGAAUCAAGAUGGCAGAUUGACCAUCUUAUGGUGUAAUUAGAAGGGAAAAGAUAGAUGUUCAUGCGGAGAUGAUAAACUCCCUUAGGCAAUGGACGUCUAAGCCUAUUAAUUUACUUGCAUCUUCACGCCCUCCAGAUUAGGAUUUCAACCGUGGAAUCUGUGCUUUGUCUUUGGUUAUUGAACACGGGUUGUGGAAAGUUAGUCUCUGCUAUGUUGGCAUGUCAAGCUCUUUCUAUAAUUGUGAGUGUGAGAAUAUUACUCUACAGGAGUGUGCAUGGAUGGGUGUUGCCACAUAUGGCUGAGAAAAAAAUUGGUUUGAGAGGGCAGAAAGAAUCAUGGAAAUAUCUCAUGAAUCAAAUACAAGAAUAGAGCUGCAGUACAAAUACUGUUGCACAAAGUAUGGUCGAUUGAUUUCCCCUUCUCGCAGUUACCAUUGUUUGAAAAGACCAGCACCGAAGGGAAAUCUUGCUUCUAUCCCAUACUAAGACAAGUCUUUUAAAUCACGGAUCUUAGGUGCAAUGGUGUCAAAUCUGACUCCACAUAAAAAGGUUACGUGUUCGAUUCACGUCAGAUCCAAUAGCAGCGACCAUGAACCAGUUAAUGCUUUCUAGAGAACCAUGAAGAAUGCCAACACGGCAGGUGGUGUGCGCGGUCGUAUGCAUAUAAUAUUUUGUCAUUAAUUAAUACCAAGGAUGGAGCUAUUGUUGAUGCACUUUGACGUUUAUGUUACACCAUUGUUCAGUGUAAAUGAUUUGGGAGGUAUCAACUUCCUAACAAUGUGCAAAAAUCGUUAACCACUUUAUUUUUCUCCAUCUAUGUAGCUUUUAUUAGCUUAGGUCACUUAAUAAAGGAUAUUUUGGGUUUAACAUAUAAUACUGCGUAAUCAGAUAUCUUUACCAAGUGUCUCUUCUCGAUAAAAGAAGGGAAAAGGGGUUAUAGAUAGACUCUAUAUGACCUAAGAAGUGCGGAAGCACCCGAGUGAAGUUCUUGAAAUAGAAUACGACUAGAAGCGGAUUAGUAAAAACUAAGUACAAAGUCGAGAGGUGAUGUUGAGGCUUCGAAGAAAGAUGGAGGUGAUGCUGAACCAAGACAACCAAAAGAAUGGGAUUGCCCAAGGAUAUACAGAAUGAAAUAGAGGAAUCUUCCAAUCCGUUAGGGAAGAUAUCUUCGCCCAAAGUAAUCAUAUAUGUCAUUUGUACUUAGGAUUCAAGUAAUCAUGUUUAAUGUUCUUCGGAUUCUGAAACAGAUCAACAGUUGUAUAUAUCUUUUUCAAAGUUUAUUAAGAUAUUGACUAUGGAUAGACAUGUUUAAUUAUUUCAACGUUUAGGCGCGCGUCAGAACGCUUUUUAAAUACUGCUUUCGCUAUUUCUCAUACAAUUCGUACAUAUUAUACUUAGUUGCAAAGCUUGGUUAUACCAACUAAUUUCUAUGUCACGUGGUUGGCUACAUUAUUAAAUGAUUGUUAUGAAGAAUAACUCUGAAGGUGCUAACAGUUCCU
Papaver somniferum (opium poppy) is the source of this 1882-nucleotide long non-coding RNA. RefSeq lists it as uncharacterized. The record is from RefSeq and is a predicted model, not a curated record. NCBI's taxonomy places the organism in Eukaryota, Viridiplantae, Streptophyta, Magnoliopsida, Ranunculales, Papaveraceae. The transcript is spliced from 7 exons.